CAAAAACAUGUCCUCUUGCAUAAAUUAAUAGGAGGUUUGGCCUGCCCAGUGAUAAAAUAAUAUUUAACGGCCGCGGUAUAUUGACCGUGCAAAGGUAGCAUAAUCAUUAGUCUUUUAAAAGGGGGCUGGAAUGAAAGGUUUGACGAGGUAUUAACUGUCUCAUUUUAUUUGAUUUUAAAAUUUAAUUUUUUGGUCAAAAGGCCAAAAUACAAUUGGAAGACGAGAAGACCCUAUAGAGCUUUAUAUUAAAUUGAAUAAUAUUAUUUAUAUUAUUUGGAUUAUUUAUGCUAGUAUUUUGUUGGGGUGACNAAAAUAUAUAAUUAACUUUUUUAUUUAUAUAACAUAGAUUUAUGAUUUCUAGAUCCAUUAUUAUUGAUUGUUAGAUUAAGUUACCUUAGGGAUAACAGCGNAAUCCNCCCCCAGAGUUCAUAUUUACGGGUAGGGCUUGCGACCUCGAUGUUGGAUUAAGAUAAUAAUUAGGUGUAGCCGCUUAAUUUAUAGGUCUGUUCGACCUUUAAAUUCUUACANGAUCUGAG
RNAcentral lists this ribosomal RNA (536 nucleotides) under Lathrocordulia metallica. Its description in RNAcentral is "partial 16S ribosomal RNA". It matches the Rfam family "Bacterial large subunit ribosomal RNA", at positions 1808 to 2609 of the family's 2925-position model. Lineage: Eukaryota; Metazoa; Arthropoda; Insecta; Odonata; Corduliidae. The record is from RNAcentral.